UGGGCAAGGGAAUCUUUCUGUACGAAACACUGUUCGAUGUUGCAGUGGUAGAUCACGUGAAGGAUAAAGACAAAUUUGGAAAAGACCUUCAUUUACUGUCGCUAUAAGACUGGACCGUUACAUGCAGAGGUUUUAAUUGGCGGUUCUCGAUCAGGCAUUCGAGACGUUGCCCAUUUAAGCAUUGCAUUCUUCGCUACAUUUCUUCAUUCUGCAUUCUUCAAGAUGUAUUGAUGGAGUUAAGUUUCUGCGGACAGAUUUCGAGCUGUUUUCAUGAGUGAAGAAAAGGUAAUAUCUUAAAGAAAAUUACCAUACAUCUCAGUCUUUCACUUGCAUGCAUCGUAUGUCAUGGUUUUAACUCUUCUAAAAUCGAACAACUUUUCCAUUGCUUAAGGUUUUAUGUGUUUUUAUAGGGUUUAUGUGCUAAAAGUUUUGAUAGAUGUUUUAUUUUGAUUUUUAUGCAGUGAGGAGAGGAAGUUGAGUGAAAAAUGGUCUUUGAAGGUGGUUUGAAGUUUGAACUGCAGCAUGCAGAAAGGUUUUGUUUAUAGACUUGCCUUGGAUGAGGUAAAGUUGUUUCUAAAAUUUGAUCUUCUUAUACUAGAAAGAGUUUGUUUUGAUCUUCUAAUACUAGAAUGUUUCAAGAGAGUACCAAUUGCAGGGCCAUAGUUGAUGGUGGUGAAGAUCAUUAAGAGUGCCAACAAGCAAUUCCGAUUAACGAAUGAAAGGUAAUAUCUAUGCAUUUUUAUGGUACGUUGAUAUAUAAGUUUAAUAGGUAAAAAGAUGAAACAUUGUUGAAUGCAAAAUUGCCUCAUAACAUCAAGUAAUGAAACUCUACUAACAAAACAUGAGAGAAAUAAUUGUUUAACUUACAGGAGAACCAUCAACACUAAUAGAAUAUUUAACAUCAUUUGUGCAAUAAGGAGUUUACAAAAACUGAAAAAAAAUAUUGUUAACAUGAGUAAUAUGUAGCAUGUGUUUGAACAAAGAAAUGUAAUUAUGAUUUUUUGAGCAAACUUCUUCAGCAUAAGUGAUCACUUGUCAUACUUCUUAGGUUACACAUAUAAGUAUGCGUCUUUGUCUUUUGUAUAUAAAAAAGACAUGACGCGUAUCUAUGUGUUCAACCUAUUUUGUAACACAUUUUAUUACUUAAAGUAGAAGCAUAAUUAUAUUUUUUUCUCUAACAUGUCAUGUAUUCUCGUGAUAAGUGCAAUUAUUUUUUUAGUUUUUAUGAGUUUCCUAUCGCAGGAAUGAUGUUAGACAUCUUUAUUAGUGUUGAUGUUUCUCCUAUAAGUUGGAAGAUUGUUCCUUCCAUUUUCUCUCAUAGUAGAAUUUUAUUUACUUAAUUAUGUUAUGUGACAUUUUGGAUUUUGCCAAUGUAUUCACGUUGAUCUAUUAAACUUAAGUUAUACAUACUUAGAUAAAUACAACUGUUUAAUUAAAGGAAAUGCUAUCAAAACUGCAUUAUACAUAUAACGGUAUAUUCAAGAAUCCUAUAUUAUAUAACCUUACAAAACAAUAUCAAACAAUUUUAAGAAGCCUAUAAUAUAUAACUAUAAUUAAUUUUAAUUUUUGAAUUUUUUUAUUCAAUUGAGUUUUAAUAUUUUUAAUUUAAUUGAGUUUCUAUAUUUUUAUAAUAAUCAAAUUGAGUUAUUUUCUAUAUUGGAAUUCACUCAUUUUAAGACAUUGUUUACAUCAAUCAAUUUAAAAAAAAUAAAAAAAAAACAUUUUUUAUAAAAGUAAUAUUUGAAUCGAGUCUUAAAAAAAAUAAAAACUUAAUUAAUUUAAAAACAAUAUAAAAACAAAAAAAAGGUCAAAAGACCCGAAUAUAAGAAUUAAAUUAUUAAUUAAAACAAAAGUAAUUUAAAUUAAUAUUUUUAAGGUAACAACUUCUACAUAGUUUUUACAAUCUGUCCUACCAUAAUCUUGAUCUAUCUAUAUAUAUCUAUCUAUCUAUCUAUAUAUAUAUAUAUAUAUAUUCUAAGCCCCUCAAAUUAAUAUCGCUUGGCAGCACACAAAAAUGGUUAACACAAAAAUACUAAAAAAUUAAUAUAAUGUUAGCUAGUUAUAAUUAUACUUACGUUUUUGGUAUAUAAGUCAACACCAGUGUUAUUACCAUCUAUAAUUUGUUUGCUGUUACUCAUAUUUAAUAAAUUACUUUACACUACAUACAAAAUGAGUGAAGAUACGCAUACUUACAUAUACUUUUCCUCUUGUGAAAAAUUGUUCAUUGACUUCCUUGCAAUUCCAUAUGAUCAAAAUUAGAAAGAAACAUCAAGUAAAGAAUAUGCAUUAUUGUUUUUUUAGAGCAUAUUGCGUGAUGCAUUACAUGUUUCUUUUUAUUUCACAAGAAGAAUUGAUUGUAAGUUUAUCUUCACUCAUUUUAGAUCUUAUAUUUGCUACUAUAAAGUCUACGGUAAUUUAUGAAGUAUGGAAAAUAACAAAUAAAUUGUAGAUCAUAGCACCGAUGGAUUGUGUUGAUGGUGCUAACUUUAGUACCAUAUGAUACCAUGAAUAUAUAAUUAUAUUUAUAGAUAGUAGCAUUAUAUAUUUUUAGUAUUUUUAUGUUAAUCACUUUAGUAAGUCCAAUUUAAAUCUACUAAAUUAAUUUAUAAAAUAAUUUAUAUCUAUUCAUAUAUUUUAUAAAGUGUGCACUUCUAGCAACAUUUAUGCUUAAGUAAAGCAUAAUGGUCUUUCCACCACUUGUUCAUUCUUCCACCAGCAACUUUCUUCAUUCUUCCAUCACUUGUUCAGGUGCUUUGGUCUUUCCAUUCAUCCACCAAUUUUAUUUUUCUAUGAAUAACUUCAUUGUGGUUGAUACUUUUACCGAUGAUGAUUUUAAUUUUAUUGUAGCUUUGGACUGCUGAAUGUCUUAGUUUGGCUUGUUCCAAUGGUGAUGUUUUUUUCUCUAGAAUUCUAAGUUGGUCUUUGUUGAAGAUAAGGUAAAAAAAAAUUGAGUCCUUGUUCUUGGAGAAGGAUGUAAGUAAUUCGAUAAAUUUUGGAUCGAUUAUUUAUAUAAGUUAAAGUUAAUAUUAUUUGUUUUCUUCAGUUGGUUAUUGAAAUAAUUUCAUGUCUUUCAUGGUUUUAUAUAUGUUGGUAUUUGUUUCUUAGUGAGGAGGACCAUGCCAAUCCAACCAUUCCAUUUGAAUGAAGAAGCAAUCCCCUAACAACCACAUCAUGAUAUUUUUUACACUUGGAAAGAAGUCUUGUUCAUUCUGUAAAUUUUGAUAUGUAAAUUAAAUAAAGCUUUGCUCAUUUGGUAUUUCGUGAUGGUAUUAGAGUUUAAUUUUUCUUAGGUUAAUAAAUGUUUUACAAACUACAACUAUUAUCCUAAAAGGAGUCUUACACCAUAUACUUGACUAAGCACUCUAAAUAUCUGAUUGACCUAUCUAUCUUGGUUUAUGAAUCCUUUUUUCUUUGUUUAUGAAUCAUAUUUCGUAAGAGUAUUUCAUAGUACCAUUAUUAAAAGAAGUACAAAAUUAUUUAAUUUUUUAAAAUUUAAUCAUGGUAUUGUUUGAACUUCUUUGCUCAUGAGGAUUUGAUUUAAAAUUAUUGUCAUAAGUGGCUACAUCAAUAUCAUUAACAAUUUGUUGAGUGGAC
This 3594-nucleotide long non-coding RNA is filed under the name Vigna radiata. RNAcentral's name for it is "long non-coding RNA (VRAD_LNC008898)". The record is from RNAcentral. Lineage: Eukaryota; Viridiplantae; Streptophyta; Magnoliopsida; Fabales; Fabaceae.